Long non-coding RNA from Monodelphis domestica (gray short-tailed opossum), 1576 nucleotides. Lineage: Eukaryota; Metazoa; Chordata; Mammalia; Didelphimorphia; Didelphidae. The record is from Ensembl.
AUGCAAAACAUAUUGGCUAUGUUGCAAGAAAGGAAAGGAAAGGAAGGAAGGAAGGAAGGAAGGAAGGAAGGAAGGAAGGAAGGAAGGAAGGAAGAAAAAGAAAGAAAGAAAGAAAGAAAGAAAGAAAGAAAGAAAGAAAGAAAGAAAGAAAGAGAAAGAAAAGGAAGGAAGGUAGAAAAAGAAAGAAAGAAAGAAAAAAGAAAGGGAAAGAAAAGGAAGGAAGGAAGGAAGGAAGGAAGGAAGGAAGGAAGGAAGGAAAGAUCAAGAAAGUGAAAACAAAUAUGCUUCAAACUGUGCUUAGAGUUCAUCAGUUCUCUCUGAUGAUGGAUAGCAUUUUUCAUUAUGAGUUCUUUGGAAUAACUGCUGAUCAUUGUAUUUAUCCUAGUAGCUAAGUCUUUCACAGUUAAGUAUCUUUACAAUACUGCUGCUGUUAAUGCCUACAAUGUUCUAAUGGUUCUGCUCACUUCACUGUAUCAGUUCAUAUAAAACCUCCCAGGUUUUUCUGAAACUAUCAUCUUUAUCAUAUUUUAAAAGCUCAACAAUAUUUCAUCAUAACCAUAUGCUACAACAUUCCCCAAUUGAGAGACAGCCUUUCAAUUUCUAUUUUUUUUUUGCCACCACAAAAAGAGCUUCUAUAAAUAUUUUUGUAUAUGUGGAACCUUUUCCUUUGAUCUCUUUGGGUUACCAAUCUAGUAAUGCUAUUGCUGGGUCAAAGAGUUUGAUGACCUUUUAUAUCUAAAUCAUGUACCCGCUGAGAAUCUAUCUUGGUGUAUUUCCCUUUUAAAGGUAGACAUCAGGUGGCAAAACCAAGAAGAGUGAAAACCAAUUGUUAAUAGAAAUGAUGGAGUAUAGAUUAUCAAUUAGCAUUUAUUAAAUGCUUCCUAUGUGCCAUGUGCUUAGUGGGGCAGCAAGGUGGCACAGUGGAUAGAGUGCUAAGCUCAGAGUCAGGAAGACCUGAUUUCAAAUUUGGCCUCAAACACUAGCUGUGUGAUCUUGGGGAAGUCACUAGAACUGUCAAAUCAUUUCAGUAUCUUUGCCAAGAACCCCUACAUCCCCAAAGGGGCUCCUUAAGCAUAACUGAAAAAUGGGUAGACUAAAUGAUAAUAUACUAAGCACUGUGCUAGGCACUGGAAAUACGAGUAGAAAGAUAGUUCUUGCCCUCAUGGAAUUCACAUUAUAAUAAGGGAAGACGAUAUAAGAAAGGGAACUGAAAGGGAUUGGGGAAGGGAAAGGUAUCCAACUUGAGAGCAUGGCAAAAGUCCAGGCAAUGCUUGCCUGCAGAAACUCUUUAAAUGAAGAUUCUGGACUGAACCAUCCAAUCAGGGAAAGGCUGAAGGGGAAGGGUUCUUCAAAAAUGUGUGAAUUCCAAGACUGAAGUGAUGGAUGGAGAAGUGGGUGAGGCUUCAGAGUGAUGGGGGAAGUCUGGAAUGAAGCCUGGAGAAGAUGGAGUACCUUAAAGUGGAAAGGAAAAAAAAAUCCAUUGAAUUGUCAAGAUCAAAGAUUAAAACUGGAAUCUUAGAGAUGAUCUAAAUGCAAUUUGAAAUGUUAAACAAAAUAAAAAUCCACUAAAACAUCA